RNAcentral lists this ribosomal RNA (1222 nucleotides) under metagenome. RNAcentral describes it as "bacterial SSU rRNA". It matches the Rfam family "Bacterial small subunit ribosomal RNA", at positions 265 to 1498 of the family's 1533-position model. The record is from RNAcentral.
CCACCAAGGCGACGAUCAGUAGGGGUUCUGAGAGGAAGGUCCCCCACAUUGGAACUGAGACACGGUCCAAACUCCUACGGGAGGCAGCAGUGAGGAAUAUUGGUCAAUGGACGGGAGUCUGAACCAGCCAAGUAGCGUGCAGGACGACGGCCCUAUGGGUUGUAAACUGCUUUUAUAGGGGGAUAAAGUGUGCCACGUGUGGCAUAUUGCAGGUACCCUAUGAAUAAGGACCGGCUAAUUCCGUGCCAGCAGCCGCGGUAAUACGGAAGGUCCGGGCGUUAUCCGGAUUUAUUGGGUUUAAAGGGAGCGUAGGCCGUCUUACAAGCGUGUUGUGAAAUGUCGGGGCUCAACCUGGGCAUUGCAGCGCGAACUGUGAGACUUGAGUGCGCAGGAAGUAGGCGGAAUUCGUCGUGUAGCGGUGAAAUGCUUAGAUAUGACGAAGAACUCCGAUUGCGAAGGCAGCCUGCUGUAGCGCAACUGACGCUGAAGCUCGAAAGCGUGGGUAUCGAACAGGAUUAGAUACCCUGGUAGUCCACGCGGUAAACGAUGGAUGCUCGCUGUUUGCGUCUGACGUAAGCGGCCAAGCGAAAGCGUUAAGCAUCCCACCUGGGGAGUACGCCGGCAACGGUGAGACUCAAAGGAAUUGACGGGGGCCCGCACAAGCGGAGGAACAUGUGGUUUAAUUCGAUGAUACGCGAGGAACCUUACCCGGGCUUGAACUGUAGGCGAACGAUUCAGAGAUGAAGAGGCCCUUCGGGGCGCCUAUGGAGGUGCUGCAUGGUUGUCGUCAGCUCGUGCCGUGAGGUGUCGGCUUAAGUGCCAUAACGAGCGCAACCCUUGUUCGUAGUUGCCAUCGGUUAAAGCCGGGCACUCUGCGAAGACUGCCUCCGUAAGGAGUGAGGAAGGUGGGGAUGACGUCAAAUCAGCACGGCCCUUACGUCCGGGGCUACACACGUGUUACAAUGGCAUGUACAGAAAGCUGGGUGUAUGCAAAUACGCUCGAAUCCCUAAAACAUGUCUCAGUUCGGACUGGGGUCUGCAACCCGACCCCACGAAGCUGGAUUCGCUAGUAAUCGCGCAUCAGCCAUGGCGCGGUGAAUACGUUCCCGGGCCUUGUACACACCGCCCGUCAAGCCAUGAAAGCCGGGGGCGCCUAAAGUCCGUGACCGCGAGGGUCGGCCUAGGGUGAAACCGGUGAUUGGGGCUAAGUCGUAACAAGGUA